This is an RNA transcript of Dermochelys coriacea (leatherback sea turtle), 3491 nucleotides long. It is a transcript of the gene named cGMP-dependent protein kinase 1-like, with no coding region annotated. Lineage: Eukaryota; Metazoa; Chordata; Testudines; Dermochelyidae. The transcript has 21 exons. The record is from RefSeq and is a predicted model, not a curated record.
CCCCCCCAAAACUGCACCUGGCCUGUGCCCCCCCCCCCGCUGAGGAUAGCGCUGGGGCUGACCCCCCACUGGCCUAGGUCCCCCCUGGGCUGGGUUGCCCCCCAAAACUGCACCCUCCCAGGACUGCCCCUGGCCUGUGGCUCCCCCCGAUGAUAGCGCUGGGGUUGUCCCCCACCCGGGACUGUCCCUGGCCUGUGCCCCCCCCAAGGCUGAGGAUAGCGCUGGGGCUGACCCACCCCCUGGCCUAGGCCCCACCCUGGCCUAGGUCUCCCCCCAAAACUUCACCUCCCCCCGGGACUGCUCCUGGCCUCUGGGGCCCCCCCUAGCCGAGGAUAGCGCUGGGGCUGACCCCCCAGCCUGUUGCAGACGUAGCCCAGAUGCACCGUACGUGGGCUCUGGCCGUGGGUUCACGGGGGCCCUGCACCAGGCUCGAGUCUCACACGCAGGCAACACAUGGCCUGUAAAUUCCCCCAUUGUUUGUUGUGGCCCCCAGGAAAGCCCAGGGGCAUGUGUUGGGGGAGGUGAUGGUGCCUGUGUAACCUUAACUCUGCCCAGCCUGCGCUUACCCAGCACAGCUGUGAGCUGCAGGGUCCCUGGCAUUCUCCAGGUCUAUACUAUCAACUGAUGGCUCUGGUGAGAAAAACCCAUCUCCCCUGCUGCAGACAGUGCUGUGCCGAUGGGGGCUUCUCCCGCCUCUUGCGGAGGGGGGUGAACUACGCCGGCAGGAGGUGCUCUCCCAUCCGUCGGCAUGGGAGCGUCUUCGCUGAAGCCCAGCAGCAGAGUUUCGAGUGUCAGCCUGCCCUUAUAAUCUGCCAGCCUCAGGGAGGUUUAUGGGGCUUUGGUGGGAAUGCUGAGCCAGACGUGGGGAGGCCAUGGAGAAGGACACAGAGGGAGCCCAGCCCUCAGGACCAAGGCCCUGGAGGGAAAAGGCUCUGGGUCCAAUUCCCCACCCCCAGGAACCAGCCUUUCUUUAAUGCAGAUGUCCUGGCCUGCUGCUUGACAGGUCCUUGGGAUUCCCAUCUGCUGUGUUUGUUCCCUGGCUAGCCGCUGAGAGGAGCUCCAAGUACAGACCCUUGUUGUACGUACAGACCCUUGUUGUACGCCAGGCUAUUCCUGCCCCGCAGUGCCUGGGUGUGGAAGUACAAGCUCAAAUCCUGCUCUGCCCCAGCCCUGCAGAGUGGCUGGGACGGGGCAAAGCUCAUGAGCUGGCCCUGCCCAGCAUGGGGCUACCUUCUACUUUAGAUCCCUGCUCUGAGGGCCAAAUGUCCUACUUCACCUUCCCUGUGUCACAGGGCAGGCCUGGCAGCCAGGAGGUGGGGCCGUGAAGCUGUCUAUGGAGGCACAAAGGUCCUGGCUGAUAAGAGACUUCUUUAUCUAGGAUCUUGUGCCCAGCCUCCAGAAGGAACCUUCUGAGUGAAAGCAAGUCCUCUGCUUUCCAACUCCCUUUUGUUGCUGUGAGCUGCUAGCCAGUUGCUGUGUUCCACCCAGAGGUGGCUGCAUUUCUGUGGCAGCCCGAGGACGGUGUAGGACAGUUGCCCAUCCCCUGCCCCAGGCUGGGAGAUGGACCACCAGCUGCGAGAGCGGUGGCUGCAGGAGGAGCGGGAGUAUCUGCAGAGCAUGGCGAAGCAGACAAGCUCGCAGGAGCAGGGCAGGGUGCCGGACGCCGGAGGGGGCGAUAGCAGGGGGAUUGCAGACCAGGCUGGUGCCGGCGGUGGACGGAGGCAGAGCAGGGCCCAGCCCAUUGUCCCCGAGCCCCUCGCUAGUGACGAGGCCCUGCAGGUGCCCCGUGUCCCUAAGUCACCCAGGGACUGCAGCCUGAUUGCAGGGGCCGUGGAGCGCAAUGACUUCCUGCGGCUCCUGGGCGAGGGCCAGGCAGACGCCAUGAUGCAGAGCUUCAUGCCCGCCUGGCAUGGCCCAGGGCACACGGUGCUGGCCGAGGGCACUGAUGGGGACGCUAUGUACAUCGUUGCUGAAGGUGAGCUGAGUGUGACCCAGCGCGGGUGCCACCUUCGCACGCUGCUCCCGGGGGAUGUAUUUGGGGAGCUGGCGAUCCUGUACAACUGCAAACGCACUGCCACUGUCACAGCACUCACCCAGGUCCGGCUCUGGGCCAUUGACCGGCAGAUCUACCGCACCAUCGUCACCAGCCAGGCCAAGCGCCGACGGGCCGAGAUCCUGGACUCCCUCAGAGAGGCACCAUCGCUGCAGGGCCUGGCGGAUGCUCAGCUCUCCAAGCUGCUGGACUCCAUGGAGGAGUGCACAUUCGCUCAUGACGAGGUGAUUGUUCGUGAAGGGGACGAGGGGAAUAACUUCUACAUCAUCCUGAGAGGAGAGGUUUGGGUCAGCAGGCGUGUGAAUGGGCGGGAGGAGCCGAUCCGGAUGCUGCGAGCUGGCGAGCACUUUGGGGAGCUGUCGCUGCUGCGCAACAUCCGCCGGACGGCCACCUGCCGGGCGCACGGGGAGGUCGCCUGCAUCACUGUCACCAAGAAAGACUUCCAGGAGAUCUGCCCCUUCUGCCCCACGCCGAGGCAGCUCUCAGAGCCAGACGUGGCUAUGCUGGAGGCUCCGUCCCUUCCUGAGCCCGGCCACGCCCCGGGCCCCGAGACAGCCCUGGCCCCACUGCGGCUCCAGGACCUGGCAGCUGUACGCUACGAGGACGGGCAGCACCACGGCCUCCCUGUGAUCUUGGGCACCGGCGGCUUUGGCAGAGUUGAGCUGGUGCGCGGGCAGGGUCAGCUCUUUGCCCUCAAGCGGAUCCGCAAGGACCACGUGGUGCGGAAGCGGCAGCAGGAACAUGUGCACACGGAGAAGCGGGUGCUGGAGCAGAGCCGCUGCCCCUUCAUCGUGGGGCUCUUUGGCACCUUCAAGGACAGCCAGUACGUCUACAUGCUGCUGGAGUUCUGCCAGGGGGGCGAGCUGUGGACCAAGCUGCGCGAGGCGCGCUGCUUCGAGGAGGAGGUGGCCGUGUUCUGCACGGCCUGCGUGGUGGAGGCACUCGACUACCUUCACGGCAACGGGAUUAUCUACCGGGACCUCAAGCCCGAGAACCUGAUGCUGGACAAGCAGGGUUACAUCAAACUGGUGGAUUUUGGCUUUGCCAAGGAGCUGGUGCGGGGGGAGAAGACCUACUCGUUCUGUGGCACCCCCGAGUACCUGGCGCCUGAGAUCCUGCGGAACGAGGGCCACGACUUCGCCAUCGACUUCUGGAUGAUGGGCAUCCUCAUCUUCGAGAUGCUGGUGGGCCGGCCCCGUUCCACAGCGCCGAGCCCCAGAAGAUCUACAGCAAGAUCCUGGAUGGGGUUUUCUCAUUCCCAGCCUACAUGAGCAAGGCCGCCUGUUCCCUGGUCUCCAAGCUGUGCCGGCACCGGCCAGGGCAGCGCUUGGGCAACACCAGCACCGGCAUCCAUGGCAUCAGGAAACACCGGUGGUUUGGCUCAGUGAAGUGGAAGCGUCUGGCCCUGCGGCAGAUCAAUGCUCCCACCAUGGCGCUG